CAAUACAAGUGCGUUAUUCAGAUUGCGAGCUGCACUUUAUAUAACUGUGCAAGUGUCGGUCGCAAAAUCGGUUGAGCUGAUUUCCAAUUGGCAGUUGAUUUAAUUGCCAGCCGGCUGCCUUAAGCCUUUUCAAUUGCCUUCAGGCACGCCAACUAGCUAAUGUGGCCACCACCAAGCCAAGUUUUUUAGCUCGUGGAAGGCCAGCGGCAAGG
Long non-coding RNA from Drosophila hydei, 212 nucleotides. RefSeq lists it as uncharacterized. The transcript has 3 exons. The record is from RefSeq and is a predicted model, not a curated record. NCBI's taxonomy places the organism in Eukaryota, Metazoa, Arthropoda, Insecta, Diptera, Drosophilidae.